Molecule: long non-coding RNA, 552 nt
Filed under: Anser brachyrhynchus (Pink-footed goose)
Lineage: Eukaryota; Metazoa; Chordata; Aves; Anseriformes; Anatidae
Description: lncRNA (ENSABRG00000016451.1)
Source: RNAcentral
UGCAGAUGUAAUUAAAGACAUAACUCAGAUGGUAUCUCUAUUUAUUUAGCUAGAACAUGCACCCACAACUGAUAAUUGCAGAACUCUGUUUCCAUAGUUACCAUUAAAUGAGACUGAGAGCAGUCUGUCAAUGACAAAUUUACUACAAUCAGGGGUGUAGUAUUUCUGCAUUAAAAAACAACAACUAACAACACUGAAUUUCAAAGUUAUGCUAUCAUAGAAGAAAGAUACCUAGUUUUUAUGCUCUUGGCAUUUAAAGGGAUUGAAUGAUUCUCGAGGGACUGAGUCUCACAGUUCUUCCACCAACUCCACUUAUGCACUCAUGAGUAAUCUUCACCAUUUUGAGAGAAGUGCCUUCCACCAAGAAUACGGACUGUGAGCAGAAGUGCAAAAAUUGAGGCUUUAAGCUGGAACAAAUCAGACAAUAGCAGCUGCACGCAGAUGAGCGGGCACAGCCUUUGAAAACAUGAGAAACAAGGAGGUUGUGCAGGGACAAGUAAGUAUUUGAAAGCAUGCCGGUUCUUCUCUGAUGUACCAAGUACUAAAUGUGCG